RNAcentral lists this ribosomal RNA (316 nucleotides) under uncultured eukaryote. RNAcentral describes it as "partial 18S ribosomal RNA". It matches the Rfam family "Eukaryotic small subunit ribosomal RNA", at positions 1470 to 1796 of the family's 1831-position model. The record is from RNAcentral.
CCCCUAGAUGUUCUGGGCCGCACGCGCGCUACACUGAACAGUUCAACAAGUCUUAACCUUGGCCGAUAGGUCUGGGUAAUCUUUGAACGCCGGUCGUGAUGGGGAUAGACCUUUGCAAUUUUUGGUCUUCAACGAGGAAUUCCUAGUAAACGCAAGUCAUCAACUUGCAUUGAUUACGUCCCUGCCCUUUGUACACACCGCCCGUCGCACCUACCGAUUGAAUGGUCCGGUGAAACCUCCGGAUUGGCGCGUGCCCUCGGGCGCCGCCGAGAAGUUGGUUAAACCUUACCAUUUAGAGGAAGGUGAAGUCGUAACA